UCUUGCAACCAGCGCAAUGCCUAUUGAUUACUUGCCAUCACAUAAUGGUGGGCACUCUAAUGAGACUGCCCAGGUCAUCCGGGAGGAAGGUGGGGACGACUUCAAGUCAUCAUGGCCCUUACGCCUAGGGCUACACACGUACUACAAUGGUGCAUACGUCGGGUUGCGAAACCGCGAGGUCAAGCCAAUCCCAAUCAAUGCAUCCCAGUCCGGAUCGGAGUCUGCAACUCGACUCCGUGAAGUUGGUAUCGACUACGUAAUCUCGGUUCAUCAUGCCGGGGUGAAUACGUUCCCGGGCCUUGUACACACCGUGCGUCAAACCACGAUCGCUGGUUCAACCCUCCAGAGGUGGUCUACUACUUCGGGGCUUGUUCUUCGGGUGAAGGCCUGGCA
This 393-nucleotide ribosomal RNA is filed under the name uncultured delta proteobacterium. RNAcentral describes it as "bacterial SSU rRNA". It matches the Rfam family "Bacterial small subunit ribosomal RNA", at positions 1085 to 1493 of the family's 1533-position model. The record is from RNAcentral. Lineage: Bacteria; Deltaproteobacteria.